CUAAUAAUGCCCUCACUACCCCACUCCAGCUCCCCAUCUAAUAAUGCCCUCACUACUCCACUCCAGCUCCCCAGCUAAUAACGCUCUCACUACCCCACUCCAGCUCCCCCAUCUAAUAAUAGUCUCACUACCCCACUCCAGCUCCCCGUCUAAUAAUGCUCUCACUAUCCCCACUAUAAUACUCGCUCUCCCCCAGCUUAUACAUGCAUUCUGUCUCUGACCCACCCAGACCCCCAGCUUGUACAUUAAUUCUACGCCCUGUUAAUCUGCUCCCUCUGAACUAAACCCUAAAAAGAGGGAGCAAAAUGAAGGUAGCAGUAAUGAAAAAAUCUACAGAACCAAAGCAUUUCAC
This is a non-coding RNA of Pelobates cultripes (western spadefoot toad), 352 nucleotides long. NCBI's taxonomy places the organism in Eukaryota, Metazoa, Chordata, Amphibia, Anura, Pelobatidae. The record is from the annotation of a GenBank genome assembly.